GAUCCUGGCUCAGGAUGAACGCUGGCGGCGUGCCUAACACAUGCAAGUCGAACGGAGUCGUUUUGGAAAUCUCUUCGGAGAUGGAAUUCUCGACUUAGUGGCGGACGGGUGAGUAACGCGUGAGCAAUCUGCCUUUAAGAGGGGGAUAACAGUCGGAAACGGCUGCUAAUACCGCAUAAAGCAUCGAAACCGCAUGAUUUUGAUGCCAAAGGAGCAAUCCGCUUUUA
Molecule: ribosomal RNA, 227 nt
Filed under: uncultured bacterium
Lineage: Bacteria
Description: partial 16S ribosomal RNA
Rfam family: Bacterial small subunit ribosomal RNA
Source: RNAcentral